This 75-nucleotide transfer RNA is filed under the name Patescibacteria group bacterium. RNAcentral describes it as "tRNA-Pro". It matches the Rfam family "tRNA". Rfam says of the family: Transfer RNA (tRNA) molecules are approximately 80 nucleotides in length. The record is from RNAcentral.
CGGGGUGUGGCGCAGUUGGCUUAGCGCGCGCGCUUUGGGAGCGUGAGGUCGUGAGUUCGAGUCUCACCACCCCGA